This 275-nucleotide ribosomal RNA is filed under the name uncultured bacterium. RNAcentral's name for it is "partial 16S ribosomal RNA". It matches the Rfam family "Bacterial small subunit ribosomal RNA", at positions 338 to 605 of the family's 1533-position model. The record is from RNAcentral.
CCUACGGGGGGCUGCAGUGGGGAAUAUUGGACAAUGGGGGCAACCCUGAUCCAGCGACGCCGCGUGUGUGAAGAAGGCCUGCGGGUUGUAAAGCACUUUUAGUGGGGAUGAAAAGCCGAAGGCUAAUACCUUUCGGUCUUGACCUAACCCAAAGAAAAAGCACCGGCUAACUCUGUGCCAGCAGCCGCGGUAAUACAGAGGGUGCAAGCGUUAAUCGGAAUUACUGGGCGUAAAGCGUGCGUAGUCGGUUAUCUAAGUCGGAUGUGAAAUCCCCG